GAUGAACGCUGGCGGCGUGCUUAACACAUGCAAGUCGAACGAGAAGUGAAGACGGAAACCUUCGGGCGGAAGGCUUUAUUUCGAGUGGCGGACGGGUGAGUAACGCGUGGGUAACCUGCCUCAUACAGGGGGAUAACAGUUGGAAACGACUGUUAAUACCGCAUAAGACCACAGCACCGCAUGGUGCGGGGGUAAAAACUCCGGUGGUAUGAGAUGGACCCGCGUUCGAUUAGCCAGUUGGCGGGGUAACGGCCCACCAAAGCGACGAUCGAUAGCCGAUCUGAGAGGAUGACCGGCCACAUUGGGACUGAGACACGGCCCAAACUCCUACGGGAGGCAGCAGUGGGGAAUAUUGCACAAUGGGGGAAACCCUGAUGCAGCGACGCCGCGUGAGUGAAGAAGUAUUUCGGUAUGUAAAGCUCUACCAGCAGGGAAGAAAAUGACGGUACCUGAGUAAGAAGCCCCGGCUAACUACGUG
This 478-nucleotide ribosomal RNA is filed under the name uncultured bacterium. Its description in RNAcentral is "partial 16S ribosomal RNA". It matches the Rfam family "Bacterial small subunit ribosomal RNA", at positions 28 to 507 of the family's 1533-position model. The record is from RNAcentral.